AUUGAACGCUGGCGGCAGGCCUAACACAUGCAAGUCGGGCGGAGCGGCGGACGGGUGAGUAAUGCCUAGGAAUCUGCCUGUUAGUGGGGGAUGACGUCCGGAAACGGGCGCUAAUACCACAUACUAUCAGAUGACCCUAGGUCUGAUUAGAUUGUUGGUGGGGUAAAGGCCCACCAAGGCGACGAGCCGUAACCGGUCUGAGAGGAUGAUCAGUCACACUGGAACUGAGACACGGUCCAGACUCCUACGGGAGGCAGCAGUGGGGAAUAUUGGACAAUGGGCGAAAGCCUGAUCCAGCCAUGCCGCGUGUGUGAAGAAGGUCUUCGGAUUGUAAAGCACUUUAGGUAGGGAAGCGGUACCUAAAGAAUAAGCACCGGCUAACUUCGUGCCAGCAGCCGCGGUAAUUC
This 407-nucleotide ribosomal RNA is filed under the name uncultured bacterium. RNAcentral's name for it is "partial 16S ribosomal RNA". It matches the Rfam family "Bacterial small subunit ribosomal RNA", at positions 30 to 526 of the family's 1533-position model. The record is from RNAcentral.